Long non-coding RNA from Hyla sarda, 1355 nucleotides. RefSeq lists it as uncharacterized. The transcript is spliced from 2 exons. The record is from RefSeq and is a predicted model, not a curated record. Lineage: Eukaryota; Metazoa; Chordata; Amphibia; Anura; Hylidae.
GAAGGAUUAAGAUAUUUUAAUAGAAGUGGUUUACAAAUCUUUCUGGCACCAGUUGAUUUAAAAAAAAAAAAAAAAAAAAAUUUCCACGGGAGUACCCCUUUAAGAUCCUCCCCAACUCUGCUCAAAGUGAAAUAACUGAAACCCAUUGGCCCUGAUUUACUAAGAGUUUUGUGUAGGUUUCUUUUGUGGGUUUUAAUUUCCUACAACAACAACAAAAAAUUUCAGGGUAUUUACUAAGGUUUCCCUACAUUUUCCACUUUCCCUACAUUUUGCAUUUAGGUUUUUUUUUUUGUAGUUUUGCAACAGCUGGAGGCACCCUGUUUGGGAAACACUGUCAUAUACUCAAACAAGGUGGGUGGGGAGAAAACACUGAGGACCACCAUGAUGACUUGUGGUUCAGGCAGCAUAAAAAUUAGGACAGGUUGCCUUUUAAGAGGAUUGCGUAAGAUGAAGUAAAAAAAAAAAAAAAAAAAAACGGAUGCUUUGUCAAAAAAAAAGCAGAUUUUUAAUUUUUUUUUAUAAAUAUUGCAAACCUCUAAAUAUAUUCUACUUGUGGUUAAACGUUUAUACCAAUAUUCAUCCCCAUAGAUGGACUUACCGUAUUUUUCGUCCUAUAGGACGCACCCAAUUUAUAGGUGCAAAAUCUAAAAAAAAUAAACAUUUUGAACCCAAUAGUGGUCCGCAGAUUGAAGACCACUGCAUUGGAGGUAAUACUCACGUGUUCCCGCCGCUCCGGACCCGACACCGCUGCCCUGGAUGUCGCUCCAUCGCUGUCGCCGUGUCCCCGUCGCUCCGGAACGUCUCUGCUGCCGGCCGGGUAUCUUCGCUCUCUGUCGCCGCCAUCACGUCGUUACGCACGUACGCGACGACGUGAUGACGAGGAAGGAGAGCGCCGGCCAUACAGGGGAUCCCUGAACGGAGAAGACACCGAGGAGGCAGGUAAGGUCCCUCCCAGUGUCCUGUAAGCACUAACCCGGCUAUUCAGUCGGGCUGUUCGGGACCGCUGGGUUAGUGUCACUUUCCCUUCAGAUGUGGCGGUCAGCUUUGAUCGCCGUGUCUGAAGGGUUAAUACAGGGCAUCACCGCGAUCGGUGAUGUCCUGUAUUGGCCGCAGGUCCCGGCCGUUGAUGGCCGCAGGGACCGCCGGGAUAGGUGUGUAUUCGCCGUAUAAGACGCACCGACUUUUUCCCCCCAGUUUUGGGGAAGAAAAAGUGCGUCUUAUACGGCGAAAAAUACGGUAUAUUUGCCUUUUCAUAAAUUUAGGAGACUGUUACGGGGAGAGAUGUUGUCACUUGCCUUUUCCAGAAAACAGACAUCACUAGAAGAGUACAGAAAAAUAAAAAAAUCAGGAUCUUU